Ficedula albicollis (Collared flycatcher) is the source of this 2185-nucleotide long non-coding RNA. The record is from Ensembl. NCBI's taxonomy places the organism in Eukaryota, Metazoa, Chordata, Aves, Passeriformes, Muscicapidae.
GGGACCCCGCGGGAUGCUCGGCUCCGAUCCCGCAGCGAACCCGUCCGUGUGCCCGGCCGCUGCCGCCGCCGGGGGGGGGGGGGGGGGGGGGGGGGGGGGGGGGGGGGGGGGGGGGGGGGGGGGGGGGGGGGGGGGGGGGGGGGGGGUGAGGCGGGGAGAGAUGCGGGGAGCGAUGCUUGGGGCGGGCACGGAGCGACGAGCGGGGAGAAAUGCGCGGGGAGAGAUGCGGGGAGGGAUGUGCGGGGAGAUGGGGGGAGAGAUGCGCGGGGCGAUGAGGGGAGCGAUGUUUGGGGCGAUGUUUGUGGCGAUGAGAGGAUGAGGGGAGCGAUGUUUGGGGCGAUUUUUGGGGCGAUGAGAGGGGAGAUGCGGGAAGGGAUGCGCAGGGAGUGAUGUUCGGAGUGAUGAUGCGCGGGGAGAUGCGGGGGGCGAUGUUUGGGGCAUCAAAAAGCCCAUGUUAAGUCAAAUCUAUUUUCCACGCAAAUUGUUUUUGCACAACCAGGAAAAUACUAUUUGGGAUUGGGGAUUUGGGGCUGGAUUGGACACCGGGCGAUGCUCGGGGCGAUGUUCGGGGCGAUGCUCGGGGCGAUGCGCUGGGAGAUGCGCGCACCGCCGGAGCAGCCACGGCGCUGGUUCUGCCCGCAGGCAAAGGCAGCUACUGGACGCUGGAUCCCAACUGCGAGAUGAUGUUCGACAGCGGGAAUUUCAGGAGGAGGAGGAAGCGGCGAGCGGAGGCGGCGCAGGGAGCCGGGGACAGCGGCGGGGACCAGCGGGGGGGGGGGGGGGGGGGGGGGGGGGGGGGGGGGGGGGGGGGGGGGGGGGGGGGGGGGGGGGGGGGGGGGGGGGGGGGGGGGCGGGGACCAGCGGGGGGCACGGCCACCCCCGCCCGAGGCCACCGGGACCGGGCUCACCCCCAGCUCAGCCCGGGCACGAGAGAGGGUUGUGCUCGUACCGCAGAAAUGGUUUUCGAGGAUGAAAGCAUUCAAAUAACCUCUGUUUCCUUUUCCAAGUGGGUGGAUCCCAUCUGAGGGUCCAGGCUGCCUCUGGAGUGGGGAUUUCAUUCCCUGAGGAACGGGCACACAUUUUACAUGGCAAGGAUGGAGAAACUCCUGCCUGGCAGAGCUGGACCUUCCCAAGACCCAGUGAAGACACUGGACCUCAGAGCCGGGCAAGAAAUGAUUUCACUGAACCCACUUUUCCUUCUGCUCCAGGAUACAAAGCUCCAGAUCUGACUGCGAGGGCUGAAUUCCCGAUUUUUCCCCUGGGACCAAAUGCCACUGCAGGACCCAGGAGAUGCAGGAAAGCAGAACCCCAGGAGGCUGCAGGGGCUUCAAACUUCCCCAGAGUGGUUUUUGUUGGCUCACCCGGAUCCUGGGGCAGGGAAAUCCACGGAUAACUCCCAGAAAGGAUCACACCCCACUCCAGAACCUUUUCCAGGGACAGUUUUAGGUGAUGAUUUACUGUGUACAUGGAGCCACUGUUUGUAUUUCUCUGUGCUUCUCUUGUGCUCUGAUUCUAUUUUUGUGCAUGGGAAAGAAAAGGAGAAUUAUUUUUAUUUUUAAUAAAUCAUUGGAGCAGGGAAGUUGCAAUCCCUGGGAGCAAAACCAGUGCCUGAAGGAAGAGCUGCAGCAGGUAACGAGGCUCUGGGCUAAUUACAGCUGCAGGCUGUGGUGGGAUAUGGGAUGGGUGGGAUGCUGUGGGGUUGGGCCAGAUCCCCUUGGAAACCCAGAAAUAAUUGGUUUGUCCAGGAGGAUGAAAUCAGGAGCUGGGAUGAGGCUCCAGAGGAACCUUCCCAGACUGGGGGCAGCUGGAGAUGUGGGGUACACCCUGUGACCCCUCCUGCUGUCACCAAACCCUGGCUCUCUGUGCCAGCUGAGAGCUGCAGGAUGGUCCUGGUGCCAUUUCUGCUGUCUCCUGGUCUUGGAAAUACCAGAAAUCCAGCGGUGGGACUGGUUUCUGUGCAGGGCCAGGAGCUGGAAUCAAUGAUCCUGAUGGGUCCCUCCCAGAUGAGGAUAUUCUGUGAUUCUAUUCUAGAAUUCCAGCUGGAAUUCAAAGCAAUUUGUGCCUCCUGUGCUGUAACUGGUGUAGCAUCAAGGCAGCAGCAUUUUCACCAUUUCCCCCUCAAUAAACUAAACAGGAUUUAAAAGGUUUCACUAUUUGAGGGAGUACCCAAAAAGAGCAAAAAAUC